This 515-nucleotide ribosomal RNA is filed under the name uncultured bacterium. Its description in RNAcentral is "bacterial SSU rRNA". It matches the Rfam family "Bacterial small subunit ribosomal RNA", at positions 19 to 518 of the family's 1533-position model. The record is from RNAcentral.
AUGGCUCAGAUUGAACGCUGGCGGCGUGCUUAACACAUGCAAGUCGCGCGUGAAAGGACUUCGGUCCGAGUAAAGCGGCGCACGGGUGAGUAACGCGUGGAUGAUCUACCCAUGAGUUAGGAAUAACGGCUGGAAACGGUCGCUAAUACCAAAUACGCUCCGAUUUCGAACUUCGGGGGAAAGGUGGCCUCUGCUUGCAAGCUACUGCUCAUGGAUGAGUCCGCGUCCCAUUAGCUAGUUGGUGGGUAACGGCCCACCAAGGCGACGAUGGGUAGCCGGUCUGAGAGGAUGACCGGCCACACUGGGACUGGAACACGGCCCAGACUCCUACGGGAGGCAGCAGUGGGGAAUAUUGCGCAAUGGGCGAAAGCCUGACGCAGCGACGCCGCGUGAGGGAUGAAAGGUCCUCGGAUCGUAAACCUCUGUCAGGAGGGAAGAACCGCCACGGUGCUAAUCAGCCGUGGUCUGACGGUACCUCCAAAGGAAGCACCGGCUAACUCCGUGCCAGCAGCAGC